Molecule: unclassified non-coding RNA, 1220 nt
Filed under: Hermetia illucens (black soldier fly)
Lineage: Eukaryota; Metazoa; Arthropoda; Insecta; Diptera; Stratiomyidae
Description: 5-hydroxytryptamine receptor 1, transcript variant X1
Source: RNAcentral
CGGCAACAAUUUCCUCGUUUCUCCUCAGUUGUAACUGAAGUAUCGUCUGGUAGAGGUCGUUUCGCGAUGCCGCAGUUGUACGCCGCUUUUUCUUUUGAAGAGGUUGUCUGAAGAGGUUCAGAAGAUCCUGCCGAGGAACAUAGUGUGUAGUAUUGUGGCAACGGUUUAGUAGGAUAUCCUACAGAUUCGUGGUUCGCGCCCAUGCUGUAUCUAUUAUCGAUUAUAAUUGACCGGUUGAUGUACGUUUUCAGUAGUUUUUGUCCCUACAUCCCCAAUUAAACCCUGGACUCAAGCAAUUCUGUGCCGAAUUCAAAUCCUUUUAGUCCUGGUUCUUAUGUGUAUUGUUUAGAGCAAUCCACGAAUAAAUGAAAUGAAAAAAAAAAUACGAAAAGAAGGAAACUCGCUUGAUAAUAGGCGGUCUAUUGUGUUAGGGUUGAAACUUGCAAGGGUAGUUUGAUAACAAUAGAGAAGAGGCGCAAGGAAAUAGUACAUUCGAGUAAAAGGGGUUCGUUGGUGAAACCGCUUCGAACAAAACGCUCGGUUAUAGUAUGUAGAUCGAAACUCAAUCAAUCGCGAACUAGCUGCUAUUGAAAGAGAGAGUUCAGUUACAGACAACGUACAUAAAUCAAAAUAACGCUCUUUCCGUUCUUCCCUGAAGUAUUCCUUACCGAAUUUCAAGUGAAUGAAUGUGAAAGUCCUCCAAGUGUCGAAUCCGUUGAGAGAUAAGAGGAGAAAGUUAGUGGAAAGUUUGGUGUCUUAACAUCACAAGUGGGUUCAAGUGUAUUUCUGAAAAAAAAAAAGUUUCAUCUGAAAAUCGAAAGAAGUGAAUUCUGUGUAACAACAACUCUCCCCCACCCCCGCAUUGUCUUACUAAUGUCGCCAUACUAGUGUGGACGGAGUGACGAAAUCGUGCGUUUGCAUAGAACAACAAUUGCGAGGGUACCAACAACAGCAUCCCGUCUAACAGCCUUUCGGAGGACAUAAAUCUUGCGCUAUUGUGACUCCACUAGGCAGACCAGCAGCUCUGUCUUUGGGGUUUUCUUCGCAUCGAAAGUUGCUUUUAUAGCAUUUCCACGAUUAAUUUUCCCGGCAGCCUUGAACACUGGAGGGUGCAGGCGGAGCGUCGCAAAUAAUGCAAUCAAACUUCCCCCAUGUGCAAGGGAAGAUCGUAAAUCGCAAGAUUAUCCUUGGAAUCAGAUGUGGAUGGAAGAGGAUUUAAU